AACUGUUUUAAAAGUAUGGUUCUGCUAUCACUCUUGGGAUGGGACCUGCGGUGCAUUAGCUAGUUGGUAGGGUAACGGGUCUACCAAGGCGAUGAUGCAUAGCCGAGUUGAGAGACUGAUCGGCCACAUUGGGACUGAGACACGGCCCAAACUCCUACGGGAGGGCAGCAGUAGGGAAUCUUCCACAAUGGACGCAAGUCUGAUGGAGCAACGCCGCGUGAGUGAAGAAGGGUUUCGGCUCGUAAAGCUCUGUUGUUGGUGAAGAAGGACAGGGGUAGUAACUGACCUUUGUUUGACGGUAAUCAAUUAGAAAGUCACGGCUAACUACGUGCCAGCAGCCGCGGUAAU
RNAcentral lists this ribosomal RNA (348 nucleotides) under uncultured Lactobacillus sp. RNAcentral's name for it is "bacterial SSU rRNA". It matches the Rfam family "Bacterial small subunit ribosomal RNA", at positions 193 to 524 of the family's 1533-position model. Lineage: Bacteria; Bacillati; Bacillota; Bacilli; Lactobacillales; Lactobacillaceae. The record is from RNAcentral.